CCUACGGUAGGCAGCAGUGAGGAAUAUUGGUCAAUGGCCGGAAGGCUGAACCAGCCAUGCCGCGUGAAGGUCAGUGCCCUAUGGGCGUUAAACUUCUUUUGUGCGGGAGCAAUAAUGGUCACGUGUGGCCAGACGAGAGUACCGUACGAAUAAGCAUCGGCUAACUACGUGCCAGCAGCCGCGGUAAUACGGGGGAUGCAAGCGUUAUCCGGAUUUAUUGGGUUUAAAGGGUGCGUAGGCUGGGAGGUAAGUCAGCGGGGAAAUGCCCCCGCUCAACGGGGUGAAGUGCCAUUGAUACUGCCUUGCUGGAAUGCGGAUGCGGUGGGAGGAAUGUGUGGUGUAGCGGUGAAAUGCAUAGAUAUCACGCAGAACCCCGAUUGCGAAGGCAGCCUUCCGGCGCCCUACUGACGCUGAGGCACGAAAGUGCGGGGAUCGAACAGGAUUAGAUACCCUUGUAGUC
RNAcentral lists this ribosomal RNA (460 nucleotides) under uncultured bacterium. RNAcentral describes it as "partial 16S ribosomal RNA". It matches the Rfam family "Bacterial small subunit ribosomal RNA", at positions 338 to 795 of the family's 1533-position model. The record is from RNAcentral.